This 486-nucleotide ribosomal RNA is filed under the name uncultured bacterium. RNAcentral's name for it is "bacterial SSU rRNA". It matches the Rfam family "Bacterial small subunit ribosomal RNA", at positions 28 to 523 of the family's 1533-position model. The record is from RNAcentral.
GACGAACGCUGGCGGCGUGCCUAACACAUGCAAGUCGAACGAGGUCCAUGAGAGCUUGCUCUCAGAAGACCUAGUGGCGAACGGGUGAGUAACACGUGAGAAACCUGCCUCGGAGUGGGGAAUAACUCGGGGAAACUCGAGCUAAUACCGCAUAUCUUCACAUGAUCGCAUGGUCGAGUGAAGAAAGAAUUUCGCUCUGAGAGGGUCUCGCGGCCUAUCAGCUUGUUGGUGGGGUAACGGCCCACCAAGGCAACGACGGGUAGCUGGUUUGAGAGAACGAUCAGCCACACUGGGACUGAGACACGGCCCAGACUCCUACGGGAGGCAGCAGUGGGGAAUCUUGCGCAAUGGGCGAAAGCCUGACGCAGCAACGCCGCGUGCGGGAUGACGGCCUUCGUGGUUGUAAACCGCUUUCAGCAGGGACGAAAAUAGACGGUACCUGCAGAAGAAGACCCCGGCGUAACUACGUGCCAGCAGCCGCGGUAA